RNAcentral lists this ribosomal RNA (459 nucleotides) under uncultured bacterium. Its description in RNAcentral is "partial 16S ribosomal RNA". It matches the Rfam family "Bacterial small subunit ribosomal RNA", at positions 338 to 795 of the family's 1533-position model. The record is from RNAcentral.
CCUACGGGAGACAGCAGUGAGGAAUAUUGGUCAAUGGCCGGGAGGCUGAACCAGCCAAGUCGCGUGAGGGAAGACGGCCCUACGGGUUGUAAACCUCUUUUGUCAGGGAGCAAGGUGCAGGUCGGGACCUGCUGUGAGAGUACCUGAAGAAAAAGCAUCGGCUAACUCCGUGCCAGCAGCCGCGGUAAUACGGAGGAUGCGAGCGUUAUCCGGAUUUAUUGGGGUUAAAGGGUGCGCAGGCGGAGGCACAAGUCAGCGGUAAAAUCGCGGGGCUCAACCCCGCUCCGCCGUUGAAACUGUGUCCCUUGAGUGGGCGAGAAGUAUGCGGAAUGCGUGGUGUAGCGGUGAAAUGCAUAGAUAUCACGCAGAACCCCGAUUGCGAAGGCAGCAUACCGGCGCCCUACUGACGCUGAGGCACGAAAGUGCGGGUAUCGAACAGGAUUAGAUACCCUGGUAGUC